Molecule: long non-coding RNA, 607 nt
Organism: Helianthus annuus (common sunflower)
Lineage: Eukaryota; Viridiplantae; Streptophyta; Magnoliopsida; Asterales; Asteraceae
Exons: 3
Source: RefSeq, a predicted model, not a curated record
CAUGACUAAGCUCCUACAAACUUGGAUAGUGGUGUCAAUUCAGUUGAUUGGUAUUCUUAUAUAAUCUCUGCAAAAAAAAAGAAUUGAAGAACCAUUUCGAGCAGUGAACAGAUUCUCCAUCAAGAGUCAUCCCAUGGUUGUUCAAUCCCCAAUUUGCAAAUACAGGUAUCUACAUCAAAACAUUCAUCUUUGUAAUUACCCUUCGUAAACUCUUCACCUCCUUAAUCGUUCAUUCUUCCAAUCGUGAAAGCAUAGAAUCAUCCAUUUCCAAAUUGGAUCUUCAAGUGAUGAUAGACAUAAGAGAAAAAAGAGACCUUCUAAAAGAGAUCGACACAAGCGUGGUAAAAGGAGGGACAAGAGACAUGCGAAGAGGCGCAGGAAGCAUGAUAAGAAGUCCAAACGCAAAUCGAAAAGGGGGUCGGAUAGUGUUAGCGAGAGUGCAAGUGAAAAUGAACAUGGUUCUGAAGACAAUGGUGAUGCUAGGAAGCUAAAUCAGAAGCAUAAUAACUCGAUUAAUAUCACUGAUGGCAAUCAGUCUCCUUCAGAGUUCUGGUAUGUAACUGUAAUUUACAUUUUCUUUAUUCUUUUAAUUUUUUUACUUUUCUGU